Molecule: long non-coding RNA, 1241 nt
Filed under: Homo sapiens (human)
Lineage: Eukaryota; Metazoa; Chordata; Mammalia; Primates; Hominidae
Description: HSALNT0264088
Source: RNAcentral
UCUGCUUCAACUAUCUUUAAUGCAAGAUACAUAGUUAAAUUAGAGUGUUUCCUUUUCCUGAAGGAGGCACAUCUUUGGUAACCAAAACAAUGCCUCUGGGAUCUCCUCCAAAAUGGCAGCCAUUAUGUAACAAAUUCCAAAAGAGACAAAAAGCAGCUGGUAUCUUCUGAAGAGGUUACCUUAGAGAUUUCAUCGAAAUCCAGGGAUGCCUAGAAGCAGUUAGUUGCGAACGAGGACAAUUUAUUGUUCCAUGUAAAGCAAGAGAUUUUUUUUUCCCGGAGAACAUUUUUGUUAAUAAUUUUAUACACUUUGGGUUUCUGAGGGAUCUUCAGAGUGAAUAUUGCAGCAAAUCAAGUAGAGAUUUUCUUUUUAAUUGUGGCAAGAACACUUUACGAGUGAUGAAGCCACUUUGCUGAAUAAGGUGAUGGGCGACUUGUAAGGAGAUUUUAAUGUGUACAUUGGCUCUAGUUCAUAAAAAUGGUCUGCUGAAAAUAUGGACUAUGUGUACAGCUGAUUUUCAUCUUAGGUCUGUAUUUUUUGGAGAAAUGAAGCACAACUAACACAAUAAGUGUACUUAAGACAUCUAUUCCAGUGAAUGUGAGAUGAAGCAUCUAUGCAUUUCAUCAGAUUGCCUGACCCAGUGUGGCUCCCCAAGCACUGCAAGGACUUGGUGAAAAUCUGAAGCUGACAAGGAAACGUCAAAUAAGGGAAUGAAACUGGUGAGCUGAGGCCCUGUGGUGGAACACAGACACUACACUCUGAACCCCGGAAGCAGGAUUCUUUCUUUUGAGAACUGUUAUUCAAAGCUACUUGAAAGUUAAUCUCUAAAACCAAAAACCACAAAACUACUCUUUCCAUGGAGCAACUCAGGGUUAUUAAAGUUUAUAGGAGGCCAUUGUUUUGGACCAGCCUCCUGCACUGGGCUCCAGCAGACCAGACCCAACCAGAAUGAAGUCGUUUGUGCUAAUGCCAUGUAAUCAAACUUAACUUUGAAAUGAGCCAGUUUUCAAAAAACCAGGAGAUUCCAGUCAACCCUGGUCAGCAUAAUAAGGACGUUUCCUCUGUUUUAAUCCUACAAGGAAAGUAACUUUGAAACCAACAAUCUGCUUUUUGUUCUGUUUCUACUUGCUUCAGCCCUUUUUUCUCUAUAAGGUCAACCUUCUCUGCUGAGCUCAUUGGAACACCCGUUCUAUUUUAUAGAAUGUGAUAUUGACAAAUUCUAGAAUUUCAAAUAAAGGCCA